CACAACUCACUGCAGCCUUGACCUCCCAGGCUCAAGAGAUCCUCCUGCCUCAGUCUCCUGAGUAGCUGGGACUACAUGUACGUGCCUCAAUGCCCAGGACUCGAGAAGACAUCUGGCCUCUUCUGUCUCCUGCAUUGACACCGCCUGUGUUCAGGAUUUCAUCACCACCCACCAGAACGAUUUCAAAAACCUCAAUGCAGCUCCUAUUCUCUGGAGUCUCCUGACUACAGUUCAUUCUUCACACUCUGAACAAGAGCAACCUUUCCACCACGCAGCUCCAGUAAUGCUCCCCUGCACAGAAACCCUCAGGGACUCCCCACUGCACAGAAGGGAAUCAAGCCUUUCCAAGAAGAAGCAUUCAAAUCACAUCAACUAUGUCCAAUGAGCAACACUGAUAUGACUCCCAGGAUAUAUACUGAGGAGUUUUAUAUAUAUUUAUUCAUUUAGAUACAUAUUAUUAUUACUAUUAUUAUUUUUAUUGUUAUUUUUGAGACAGAGUCUCGCUUUGUCG
This 511-nucleotide long non-coding RNA is filed under the name Pan troglodytes (chimpanzee). RNAcentral describes it as "long non-coding RNA NONPTRT001588". Lineage: Eukaryota; Metazoa; Chordata; Mammalia; Primates; Hominidae. The record is from RNAcentral.